GAUGAACGCUGGCGGCGUGCCUAAUACAUGCAAGUCGAGCGAACAGACGAGGAGCUUGCUCCUCUGACGUUAGCGGCGGACGGGUGAGUAACACGUGUAUAACCUACCUAUAAUACUGGGAUAACUUCGGGACACCGGAUCUAAUACCGUAGAAUAUAUUGAACCGCAUGGUGCAAUGGUGAAAUACGGUUGUGCUGGCACUUAUCGCGGGAUCCGGGCCGCAUUAGCUAGUUGGUACGUUAACGGCUUACCAAGGCGACGAUGCGUAGCCGACGUGUGGGGGUGAUAGGCCACACGGGAAGGUAGACACGGUCAAGACUACUACGGGAGGCAGCAGUAGGGAAUGUUAGGCAAUGGGCGAAAGCCUGACGGAGCAACGCCGAGCCAGAGAUGAAGGUCUUCGGAUCGUAAUGAUCUGUUAUGAGGGAAGAACAAAUGUGUAAGGAAACAUGCCGGUAUUGACGGUACCUAAUAAGAAAGCAACGGCUAACUACGUG
This 497-nucleotide ribosomal RNA is filed under the name uncultured bacterium. RNAcentral describes it as "partial 16S ribosomal RNA". It matches the Rfam family "Bacterial small subunit ribosomal RNA", at positions 28 to 507 of the family's 1533-position model. The record is from RNAcentral.